CGACAAGACAUCUUCAACUCAAGGACCAUAGAAAGCAACAAGGAACAACAAAGGACUAUAGAGAUUCACAAAGAGCAACGAGGCAACACCCCAACCUUUACGGUUGUGAUCAUUAUAAGCGAAGCGGACAAGAGGAGAAUUCACGUAACCCCAGACUGUUCCUCGUGCCAGACACUUAUAUAUUUCAAAGCAUAAUUAUUUGAACGAUUUAAAAACGGAUGAAACAUGUGGUACAGGAUCAUACGAUCCAGUUUACCAGUGACGCUCAAGGCAACAUCAGGAGCGGUCGAUUUCAGUUUUUUGCAGGAAAACACUGUAUAGCGUAAUAUUCAGACUGUUUAAGCAAUAUGAAACUGCAGCUUGGGUUACUCCCAAUUGUUUUGCCAACUCCAUUGGCAGCUAUAUCCGGGUCUUCAUGGAUCAAGCGCACUAAUUCUUCAUUUUCCCAAUUUUUACAUGGUCUUCUUGAAGUAGGUCUUUCUAAAUUGAAAUCACCACUCCUAAAGUAUCUAUACCACUUUUCACAUGAAGAUAUGGAUAUAAUACCAUGGCUAUAAGCUUGUGAGAGAAUUCGGUGUGCCUCAGAAGCGAAUUUUUUACUAUUAAAAUAAUAAAGUAACACCUCCCGCAAAUGACGAGUAGUAGGCUUAUAAUUUGACAUUUCUAAUUUGAAAUAACUAUAUGAUGUAAACACAAGUCAACUACUGAUACUACCAAGUUAUCUUCACAAAAUGUUAAAGAGUAUUGCAAGCUGUCUAUAAUGUAUGUAUUCGACGUCUACUUGUCGCUAAUGCCAUCUACAGAAAAGCUAUAUAUUAUAUAUAUACAUGUCUAUACAUAAUAUAUAUUACUAUUACAUUUAAUAUAUAAGGGAAGUUCACGUAGCGUGACAAUAUCA
Polistes dominula (European paper wasp) is the source of this 898-nucleotide long non-coding RNA. RefSeq lists it as uncharacterized. Lineage: Eukaryota; Metazoa; Arthropoda; Insecta; Hymenoptera; Vespidae. The record is from RefSeq and is a predicted model, not a curated record.